RNAcentral lists this transfer RNA (57 nucleotides) under Ictidomys tridecemlineatus (thirteen-lined ground squirrel). RNAcentral's name for it is "Spermophilus tridecemlineatus (thirteen-lined ground squirrel) tRNA". It matches the Rfam family "tRNA", at positions 8 to 63 of the family's 71-position model. Rfam says of the family: Transfer RNA (tRNA) molecules are approximately 80 nucleotides in length. Their secondary structure includes four short double-helical elements and three loops (D, anti-codon, and T loops). Further hydrogen bonds mediate the characteristic L-shaped molecular structure. tRNAs have two regions of fundamental functional importance: the anti-codon, which is responsible for specific mRNA codon recognition, and the 3' end, to which the tRNAs corresponding amino acid is attached (by aminoacyl-tRNA synthetases). tRNAs cope with the degeneracy of the genetic code in two manners: having more than one tRNA (with a specific anti-codon) for a particular amino acid; and 'wobble' base-pairing, i.e. permitting non-standard base-pairing at the 3rd anti-codon position. The record is from Rfam by way of RNAcentral. Lineage: Eukaryota; Metazoa; Chordata; Mammalia; Rodentia; Sciuridae.
UAGCUUAAUGGCAGAACACUUGCCUAUCAUGUAAGAGGCCCUGGGUUCAAUUCCCAG